GAUCUUCAUCGAUGAGGUAGUUGGGAUCCGUAUCUUCGAGGUCCCACACGUCAUGGGAGGCGCGUGCAAUGAAUGACUGCACAAAAUCGAUACCGAAGAAUCCUAGGAGGUAAAUGAAAGAGGCAAUGAGGGAGACAAUAGCAACAAUUUCAGAGAGAGUAACGAUAUGAAGGGGAGUGGAGUUGCGGAUCUUGUCGCGCCACCGGUGAAGGAGGUAAUACGCCACCGAGAAGAACAGCGUGAAGAAAACCGCGUUGGUCAGGUAGAGGGGAAGCGGAAGCGCGUCCGACGCUUUCGGAGUGGUCGGAGAACGGUCCUCAACGGGUGUAGCAUGCUUUCGGUGGUGGAGCCGGCCGGUGGUGUCCAUGUAAAAAUAUGCCGGCGCAGGAGAGAGAAAGGGAGAGAGGGGAGUGGAGUUGCGG
Molecule: unclassified non-coding RNA, 422 nt
Filed under: Hevea brasiliensis (rubber tree)
Lineage: Eukaryota; Viridiplantae; Streptophyta; Magnoliopsida; Malpighiales; Euphorbiaceae
Source: RNAcentral